UGAUCCUCCCUUGCAGGGCCCGGUAGAGAAGAGAACUCUGAGGCCCCCAUGGGGGAAUCACCUCCAGGGGUUAUUCCUGUGACCAAACAUAGCCUUGCUGGUCAGAAAGUUUGCACGGCAGGGGGCUGCUCCUCUGUAUUAGGUCCUUCUAGCAGAGCAGACUCACCCACAGGCUGGAAGAGACAAAGGGUGAUGCUCUUGGGCAGUUCUGGCUGGCUUCCCGGUGCUUCAAACUUAUGGUACAACUGGUUGAAUCUUCUCUAGAGGUGAAGACCAUGAAUGAAUCUUCCAGGCUGGAUGCACAAGGCAUGGGUGACAGCCUGGAAUCCUGAAUCUUGAUCUGGUUUUUAAAACGCUGCAAAGGCCGAUGUGCUUAGAUUUUUAUGUAUAUGAAGUCUUUACAAUUGCAGAAUUGGUAUUUCUUCACCUGUGCUUCAAAAAUAACUUUUUUUAAUUUAAAAACUGCGUGACUCAGCACCUGAUAUUGCCACAUGGUUAAACUAAAUCCGUUUAAGACAAAAAGAUUUUGACGAGAGAUCUACGUGUCACUAAUACAGGCAGGCUUCUGGCUGCUGUGCCUGUGGUAGAUGGAUCGAGCUAAGUGAUCGUGGGGUUACUCUCCUGGCACAUCAUUUCUACUCUCCGACAAAAUCCACCCGUCUAAGUUCCUCUCCCUGAAGGCUACAAAACCAGAAAGGCUUGGCUGAAUCUGUUUCGAAACACAAAUCCAGGAUUAGAGAAGAACUCUACUGUUUGGAAUAGUGGUGGACUCGAUUCUUUGGAAUAUCUUGGUGAGUGAAAUGAAGUCACCAGCAAUAUUUUCUCCACACUGGUCACCGUGGGAACCGAAAGCAGUGAAGCCCAGUGGACUGACAACUGAGACGAUGCAGAUGCCACAGUAUGGGGGUCUAGGGGGCCAUCCUAAGAUGGGUAACACUUUGCUCAGAAGCUGGGACACCUACUGCUUCCUGCCCAGAUACAUCCCUAAGUAAGGUGCUCAUUUCAACCCCUGUACACAAUUUAAAUUCUAUACCAUAAUAUAAGGAACGAGAAGCAUGAUUACUGCCUUUUAGAGGCCCCUCUAAAUACCACAGCAGAACCAGCCAGAUAGACAAAUCAUUUCACAAAAGAAACGCAGUAAAUGACAAAUAGGAAAUCAAAAGGGCCCAGGGUCU
Molecule: long non-coding RNA, 1175 nt
Filed under: Rattus norvegicus (Norway rat)
Lineage: Eukaryota; Metazoa; Chordata; Mammalia; Rodentia; Muridae
Description: partial HAfT12 variant X1
Source: RNAcentral